RNAcentral lists this ribosomal RNA (433 nucleotides) under uncultured bacterium. RNAcentral describes it as "partial 16S ribosomal RNA". It matches the Rfam family "Bacterial small subunit ribosomal RNA", at positions 29 to 507 of the family's 1533-position model. The record is from RNAcentral.
AACGAACGCUGGCGGCAUGCCUAACACAUGCAAGUCGAACGAGACCUUCGGGUCUAGUGGCGCACGGGUGCGUAACGCGUGGGAACCUGCCCUUAGGUUCGGAAUAACUCCCCGAAAGGGGUGCUAAUACCGGAUAAUGUCUUCGGACCAAAGAUUUAUCGCCUUUGGAUGGGCCCGCGUUGGAUUAGCUAGUUGGUAGGGAAAAAGCCUACCAAGGCGACGAUCCAUAGCUGGUCUGAGAGGAUGAUCAGCCACACUGGGACUGAGACACGGCCCAGACUCCUACGGGAGGCAGCAGUGGGGAAUAUUGGAAAAUGGGCGAAAGCCUGAACCAGCAAUGCCGCGUGAGUGAUGAAGGCCUUAGGGUUGUAAAGCUCUUUUACCCGGGAUGAUAAUGACAGUACCGGGAGAAUAAGCUCCGGCUAACUCCGUG